Molecule: ribosomal RNA, 340 nt
Filed under: uncultured bacterium
Lineage: Bacteria
Description: bacterial SSU rRNA
Rfam family: Bacterial small subunit ribosomal RNA
Source: RNAcentral
AUUGAACGCUGGCGGAAUGCCUUACACAUGCAAGUCGAACGGCAGCACGGGAGCAAUCCUGGUGGCGAGUGGCGAACGGGUGAGUAAUACAUCGGAACGUGCCCAAUCGUGGGGGAUAACGUAGCGAAAGCUACGCUAAUACCGCAUACGAUCUACGGAUGAAAGCAGGGGAUCGCAAAGACCUUGCGCGAAUGGAGCGGCCGAUGGCAGAUUAGGAGUUGGUGGGGUAAAGGCCUACCAAGCCGUCGAUCUGUAGCUGGUCUGGAGAGGACGACCAGCCACACUGGGACUGAGACACGGCCCAGACUCCACGGGAGCAGCAGUGGGAAUAUUGGACAAU